AGGCCUACGGGACGCAGCAGUGGGGAAUAUUGCACAAUGGGGGAAACCCUGAUGCAGCGACGCCGCGUGAGCGAAGAAGUAUUUCGGUAUGUAAAGCUCUAUCAGCAGGGAAGAAAAUGACGGUACCUGACUAAGAAGCCCCGGCUAAAUACGUGCCAGCAGCCGCGGUAAUACGUAUGGGGCAAGCGUUAUCCGGAUUUACUGGGUGUAAAGGGAGCGCAGGCGGCUUGGCAAGUCUGAAGUGAAAAUCCAGCGCUUAACGUUGGAAGUGCUUUGGAAACUGCCGGGCUAGA
Molecule: ribosomal RNA, 293 nt
Filed under: uncultured bacterium
Lineage: Bacteria
Description: partial 16S ribosomal RNA
Rfam family: Bacterial small subunit ribosomal RNA
Source: RNAcentral